This 73-nucleotide transfer RNA is filed under the name Neotoma lepida (desert woodrat). It matches the Rfam family "tRNA". From Rfam's summary of the family: Transfer RNA (tRNA) molecules are approximately 80 nucleotides in length. Their secondary structure includes four short double-helical elements and three loops (D, anti-codon, and T loops). The record is from Rfam by way of RNAcentral. Lineage: Eukaryota; Metazoa; Chordata; Mammalia; Rodentia; Cricetidae.
UGGGACGUGGCUCAGUUGGUAGAGUGCUUGCCUAGCAUGCAUGAAAUCCUGGGCUCCAUCUCUAGCAUUUCAU